Molecule: long non-coding RNA, 284 nt
Organism: Asparagus officinalis (garden asparagus)
Lineage: Eukaryota; Viridiplantae; Streptophyta; Magnoliopsida; Asparagales; Asparagaceae
Exons: 3
Source: RefSeq, a predicted model, not a curated record
CCUAACCAACCGCCAGCUGCCGUUCUCAAAAAAAUCCGAACGAAGAGAGCGCGAACUCUGUUGGAAAUGAAGGCGACCAAAUUGGAAAAUUUAGGUUCCUGUGAAUUCCCAAAAAAAUCAAGAUAAAGAAGUCCUCGAGCGACUCCUGCGAUAAUAUGAAAGCGUGUUUUCCAAUCCAGCAAUGUUCCUCUGCUUUUGUCUGGUGCUCAUUUCUGGUAUCCCGUUGAAAUCAUCGCCGGUCCAGGGACCAGACCGCCACCGCUUCACAUAGCCAAAAAAGACGG